AGAGUUUGAUCAUGGCUCAGGAUGAACGCUGGCGGCGUGCCUAAUACAUGCAAGUCGAGCGAAUGGAUUAAGAGCUUGCUCUUAUGAAGUUAGCGGCGGACGGGUGAGUAACACGUGGGUAACCUGCCCAUAAGACUGGGAUAACUCCGGGAAACCGGGGCUAAUACCGGAUAACAUUUUGAACCGCAUGGUUCGAAAUUGAAAGGCGGCUUCGGCUGUCACUUACAGAUGGGCCCGCGGCGCAUUAGCUAGUUGGUGAGGUAAUGGCUCACCAAGGCGACGAUGCGUAGCCGACCUGAGAGGGUGAUCGGCCACACUGGGACUGAGACACGGCCCAGACUCCUACGGGAGGCAGCAGUAGGGAAUCUUCCGCAAUGGACGAAAGUCUGACGGAGCAACGCCGCGUGAGUGAUGAAGGCUUUCGGGUCGUAAAACUCUGUUGUUAGGGAAGAACAAGUACGAGAGUAACUGCUCGUACCUUGACGGUACCUAACCAGAAAGCCACGGCUAACUACGUGCCAGCAGCCGCGGUAAUACGUAGGUGGCAAGCGUUAUCCGGAAUUAUUGGGCGUAAAGCGCGCGCAGGCGGUUUCUUAAGUCUGAUGUGAAAGCCCACGGCUCAACCGUGGAGGGUCAUUGGAAACUGGGGAACUUGAGUGCAGAAGAGAAAAGCGGAAUUCCACGUGUAGCGGUGAAAUGCGUAGAGAUGUGGAGGAACACCAGUGGCGAAGGCGGCUUUUUGGUCUGUAACUGACGCUGAGGCGCGAAAGCGUGGGGAGCAAACGGGAUUAGAUACCCUGGUAGU
This 805-nucleotide ribosomal RNA is filed under the name uncultured bacterium. Its description in RNAcentral is "bacterial SSU rRNA". It matches the Rfam family "Bacterial small subunit ribosomal RNA", at positions 8 to 794 of the family's 1533-position model. The record is from RNAcentral.